Molecule: ribosomal RNA, 702 nt
Filed under: Ceriporia sp. BAB-5052
Lineage: Eukaryota; Fungi; Basidiomycota; Agaricomycetes; Polyporales; Irpicaceae
Description: eukaryotic LSU rRNA
Rfam family: 5.8S ribosomal RNA (bases 247-400)
Source: RNAcentral
UGUCGUAAACAAGGUUUCCGUAGGUGAACCUGCGGAAGGAUCAUUAUCGAGUUUUGAACGGGUUGUAGCUGACCUCUUUUUGGGGUAUGUGCACGCCUGGCUCAUCCACUCUCAACCUCUGUGCACUUCAUGUAAGAGAACGGUGUAAGCUGAUUUUGUAAAGAAGUCAGUGACAAGCCUUCUCUUGCGUUUUACCACAAACACUUCAGUUAUAGAAUGUUUACUGUGUAUAACACAAUUAUAUACAACUUUCAGCAACGGAUCUCUUGGCUCUCGCAUCGAUGAAGAACGCAGCGAAAUGCGAUAAGUAAUGUGAAUUGCAGAAUUCAGUGAAUCAUCGAAUCUUUGAACGCACCUUGCACUCCUUGGUAUUCCGAGGAGUAUGCCUGUUUGAGUCUCAUGGUAUUCUCAACCCCUAAAUUUUUCUAGUGAAGAUUUGGUGGGCUUGGACUUGGAGGUUGUGUUGGCUCUCGCUAGUCGACUCCUCUGAAAUACAUUAGUGUGAACCUUACGGAUCGCCUUCAGUGUGAUAAUUAUCUGCGCUGUGGUGGUGAAGUAUUUAUUGUAUUCACGCUUCUAACCGUCUCUCCUUCGAGACAAAUACUUUGACAAUCUGAGCUCAAAUCAGGUAGGAUUACCCGCUGAACUUAAGCAUAUCAAUAAGCGGAGGAAAAGAAACUAACAAGGAUUCCCCUAGUAACU